Molecule: transfer RNA, 93 nt
Filed under: Acholeplasmataceae bacterium
Lineage: Bacteria; Bacillati; Mycoplasmatota; Mollicutes; Acholeplasmatales; Acholeplasmataceae
Description: tRNA-Ser
Rfam family: tRNA
About the family: Transfer RNA (tRNA) molecules are approximately 80 nucleotides in length. Their secondary structure includes four short double-helical elements and three loops (D, anti-codon, and T loops). Further hydrogen bonds mediate the characteristic L-shaped molecular structure. tRNAs have two regions of fundamental functional importance: the anti-codon, which is responsible for specific mRNA codon recognition, and the 3' end, to which the tRNAs corresponding amino acid is attached (by aminoacyl-tRNA synthetases). tRNAs cope with the degeneracy of the genetic code in two manners: having more than one tRNA (with a specific anti-codon) for a particular amino acid; and 'wobble' base-pairing, i.e. permitting non-standard base-pairing at the 3rd anti-codon position.
Source: RNAcentral
GGAGUAGUACUCAAGAGGCUGAAGAGGCGCCCCUGCUAAGGGUGUAGAUCGAUGAAAGUCGAUGCGAGGGUUCAAAUCCCUCCUACUCCGCCA